CAUGGCGGCUCCCCUUUAGUUUCUACCGUGCCCUGCCCUGGCUCGCCUCCGCGGCGCCUUCAGCGGCUUCACCCCUGUCGACGCAAAGAUGGCGGAAGCGGUUGCGGCCGUUUGAAUUCCAGCGAAGCCGCCAAAGCGGCGCACAAAGGAGCCGCGGCUGCGGCCGGCGGCGCCAUGGACUCGCUGCCGGGGGCAGACCCGACGCUGCCGGUGGCGUUUGAGGACAGCGCCUCCCAGCUGCCCGACGUCUCCCGCGGGGACCCGCAGCUCGGCCCGGCCGGCAGCCGAGGGUUACCAGACGUGGCAGAAGAUACGAUCUCACCAACUAGAGCUCGGACCAUGAAGGACUACGAAAACGUAAGCAGA
This is a long non-coding RNA of Cygnus atratus (black swan), 366 nucleotides long. RefSeq lists it as uncharacterized. The record is from RefSeq and is a predicted model, not a curated record. NCBI's taxonomy places the organism in Eukaryota, Metazoa, Chordata, Aves, Anseriformes, Anatidae. The transcript is spliced from 3 exons.